Molecule: long non-coding RNA, 2306 nt
Organism: Scylla paramamosain (green mud crab)
Lineage: Eukaryota; Metazoa; Arthropoda; Malacostraca; Decapoda; Portunidae
Exons: 2
Source: RefSeq, a predicted model, not a curated record
CGUUUGUGUAUGAAUCCCUCGAACUGUAAACCGAGGGAAGGUAGCUCAGGGAGGGACGUGAAGCCGGCACUCUAUCUGUGGUAUAGCAGCCGCACACACGUUCUUGGAUUGAAACCUGUGGAUUUAUUCCCUGUGAGCGCCAGAGAUUGUUGAACCGUUCACCCUCAACGUUCACCCGCACGUUCACUCUUACGUUCACCAUAUGGGACAAGUAAACGCACACAUGGGACAAGUAAACACACACAAGAAUGAACGAGUGUCGAUAGCCUGGCGUAAUAAUAUACCAAGAAGAAAUGCCCUUGUCUAACGCCCCUGAGUGGGUGUUACACCUAUACUCUUUAGUCGUGGUUUGAAAUAUCCUGAACGCCAAUCAGAAUACGUGAAUGUGUCAAUGGUGAAGUGAACUCUGCCUCUCGAAAAAGAAAAAAAGAAAAAGAAAAAAAGAAAUAUGCCAGUGUUAGGUCCAUUACACCAGUAAACUCAGGAACAUUCCCUUUUUCUUUUCCGCUGUGACUUGCACUGCCUUAAGAGAAGAACACAGGAUUAUCGUGACAUUUUCGGAGCUAAAUUUACUUCCAUUCUUGACUUUCUUCUCUUUAUUUGUAAGGAAGUAGCCAAAUAACGGGUUUACUUCUCGCUGGUCGAUGUCCUUCAGACAAUAAGAAAUACUCGUAUAUCGACGUGGAUACCUUCCCUACUCGGUGCUCGAUCCCUCUGUAAAGUUUGUUACACUUUCCUUUAUUACUUUUAUUCUGUUACAUAUGGGCAAGAAAUGUAGGAAUGGAGGGAAGACGAAAGAGCGGACGGGAGAAAGGAGUGAGGGAGUUCCCAGGGGAGGGAGCAUCAAGAAGAUUUAAACCUCCCUGGCUGUCAUCGGGUCUAUACAAAUUCUCAUCAGACGUCACCCAGACGUCACCCAGCUCCGCUCCUGCUCUCACUCCUGCGUCUUUUAAAAGGCCGGCAGGAAGCAAGGCGCGCACACUCGCCCACGAGCCGCCUAGAAAGGAGCAUUUUCGCUUCCAACGACUCUACAAAGAAAAAGGCUUUGGCCUGCUAGACAAAAAAAGAAUACCGAUAGACAACCCGGCAGUCACUUCGAGGAGCCGCGGUCUUCCCUACGUUCCCUGUGGAGAGAGCCUCACCUAAGGGUAUCGCUGGAAGAUCGCAGUAACUCACUGGUAUAAGUGACUUUUGCCAACUGUUCCUCCUACUCCACCUUUCUUUUCUUCGUACCGGCGACAGAGUCAGGAUCGGGCCUUAGGCAAGCCCGCUCCGCGCUCUUUAGCCACCGGGGCCUCUAGUGUUGGCUAGAGCAGCCUAGAGACACCCCGGCAGCGUACAAUCCCUACCUCAGGGCUAGAUAUUCAGGGUCUCCUCUCUCCAGCUAGGAUCCCCCUCGGGAUAUAGGUUCUAGGGCGACAGGAAACAACAAUAGGUUGUUUAUAGUCCACUCGUGGUUGUAGCACCCUAAAGGCUGUAGCGCCAAAAGGCUGUAGCGCCACUCGCGCCUAAUAACACUUUUCCACCACAGAUUCUCUCCUACAGGGCUGCAGCAUCAUAGGGCCCGGCCCUAUGAUAAGAUGGCCGCCCCACGCCCCCCUGACCGGACAAUAAGGUACCGGAUUAAAACUGCCAACAUCCCUGCCGACCUCAGCAAUGCCUUUUUUACCAGGACCCAGGUUCCCCACACAAAAUGCUUUACAUCUGGCCCUUACAUUAUCGUUGGUUUUGGGUGCGUGGGCGGCGUCCGUGGCUGUGGCUGUGUUGGGUUUGGCUUGCUCGGUUGGUGGCGGACUCUCCUGCUUUCCCCGAUAAGGACCUUGACUCCCUUGCCAUCUUAGCAUGAAUAUAACACGGGAGAAAAAAAAAAAAAAAAAAAAAAAAAUAAUAAUUUAAGAGAUGUCCUUCCUAAUUCAAAUUGCGCCUGGGUUAAGCCCCAGUGAUUAUUUCUCCUACUACAGUUCCCUUCUUAUCACCCCCUAUUCUUCCCACUGUCCCCACUUCCCCCUCCCCACCUUUUCUCUCUUUGUUAUGUUAUAUAUCACCUGUAAACUACUCGUACUUGUUUUCUUCUUGCUCUGUUUAUAUCCCUUGAUUCUUUCAUUCCUUAUUUCAUCUCCCUCUCUCUCCUUUCCUUCUAUUUAACUACGUACAUCCACUACUCAUCUUUCUCCUGCUCUGUUUGAGUUAUUUACUUAUUUUUUUUUAUUUAUUCUGUGGUGUAUAACAAUCUCUCUCUCUCUCUCUCUCUCUCUCUCUCUCUCUCUCUCUCUCUCUCUCUCUCUCUCUCUCUCUCACACACACAU